Molecule: ribosomal RNA, 253 nt
Filed under: uncultured bacterium
Lineage: Bacteria
Description: partial 16S ribosomal RNA
Rfam family: Bacterial small subunit ribosomal RNA
Source: RNAcentral
GACAGAGGGUGCGAACGUUGUUCGGAAUUACUGGGCGUAAAGCGUGCGCAGGCGGUUCGUCGUGUCCGAUGUGAAAGCCCCGGGCUCAACCUGGGAAUGGCAUUGGAAACUGGCGGACUCGAGUGUGGCAGAGGGGGGUGGAAUUCCGCGUGUAGCAGUGAAAUGCGUAGAGAUGCGGAGGAACACCGAUGGCGAAGGCAGCCCCCUGGGCUGACACUGACGCUCAGGCACGAAAGCGUGGGGAGCAAACAGG